UGCUCUGUGGCUUAAGUAGUUAGAGCAUCCACUUCUGAUGCAGAAGGUCAUGGGUUCGAACCCCAGCUGAGUCA
This is a non-coding RNA of Potamilus streckersoni, 74 nucleotides long. The record is from the annotation of a GenBank genome assembly. Lineage: Eukaryota; Metazoa; Mollusca; Bivalvia; Unionida; Unionidae.